UACGAAGGGUGCAAGCGUUACUCGGAAUUACUGGGCGUAAAGCGUGCGUAGGUGGUGAGUUAAGUCUGUCGUGAAAGCCCCGGGCUCAACCUGGGAAUGGCGAUGGAUACUGGCUCGCUAGAGUGCGGUAGAGGAGAGUGGAAUUCCCGGUGUAGCAGUGGAAUGCGUAGAGAUCGGGAGGAACAUCAGUUGCGAAGGCGGCUCUCUGGACCAGCACUGACACUGAGGCACGAAAGCGUGGGGAGCAAACAGG
Molecule: ribosomal RNA, 253 nt
Filed under: uncultured bacterium
Lineage: Bacteria
Description: partial 16S ribosomal RNA
Rfam family: Bacterial small subunit ribosomal RNA
Source: RNAcentral